Molecule: long non-coding RNA, 216 nt
Filed under: Lathyrus oleraceus (garden pea)
Lineage: Eukaryota; Viridiplantae; Streptophyta; Magnoliopsida; Fabales; Fabaceae
Description: Pisum sativum (pea) long non-coding RNA (PSAT_LNC012233)
Source: RNAcentral
GAUCAGAGAGACCAAAAGUCCACAGGAGUAUAAUGCAUUCCAUAAGGAAAACUCAUUGUGGAGACCGAGACUCUGGGGGAUAAAGGAGUUAUGCGUAGGCCAGGCUACGACUUAAAAAUGAUGGGGGACUCGAGGAUUUCCAUAUAAAAUGGAAAGACUCAGCCGGGGAAGAACAACAUCUGCAGCGAAAGCGAGUAUAUCAGGAUAACACUGAAG